This 538-nucleotide ribosomal RNA is filed under the name uncultured bacterium. Its description in RNAcentral is "bacterial SSU rRNA". It matches the Rfam family "Bacterial small subunit ribosomal RNA", at positions 355 to 895 of the family's 1533-position model. The record is from RNAcentral.
UGAGGAAUAUUGGUCAAUGGACGGAAGUCUGAACCAGCCAAGUAGCGUGCAGGAAGACGGCCCUAUGGGUUGUAAACUGCUUUUGUAUGGGGAUAAAGUCAAUCACGUGUGAUUGUUUGCAGGUACCAUACGAAUAAGGACCGGCUAAUUCCGUGCCAGCAGCCGCGGUAAUACGGAAGGUUCGGGCGUUAUCCGGAUUUAUUGGGUUUAAAGGGAGCGUAGGCCGGAGAUUAAGUGUGUUGUGAAAUGUAGACGCUCAACGUCUGACUUGCAGCGCAUACUGGUUUCCAUGAGUACGCACAACGUUGGCGGAAUUCGUCGUGUAGCGGUGAAAUGCUUAGAUAUGACGAAGAACUCCGAUUGCGAAGGCAGCUGACGGGAGCGCAACUGACGCUGAAGCUCGAAGGUGCGGGUAUCGAACAGGAUUAGAUACCCUGGUAGUCCGCACAGUAAACGAUGGAUGCCCGCUGUUGGUACCUAGUAUCAGCGGCUAAGCGAAAGCAUUAAGCAUCCCACCUGGGGAGUACGCCGGCNCGGU